UUAAGUUCAGCGGGUAUCCCUACCUGAUCCGAGGUCAACCUUCAGAAGUUGGGGGUUUAACGGCGUGGCCGCGCUUUGUCCCGUUGCGAGGUUAGAUUACUACGCAGAGGAGUACAGCGUGACCGCCACUAGAUUUAGGGGACGCGCGCCACGAGGGCACGCCGAUCCCCAACACCAAGCCCGGGGGCUUGAGGGUUGAA
This 200-nucleotide unclassified non-coding RNA is filed under the name Nectriaceae sp. Its description in RNAcentral is "partial internal transcribed spacer 2". Lineage: Eukaryota; Fungi; Ascomycota; Sordariomycetes; Hypocreales; Nectriaceae. The record is from RNAcentral.